RNAcentral lists this long non-coding RNA (1633 nucleotides) under Homo sapiens (human). Its description in RNAcentral is "HSALNT0005243". The record is from RNAcentral. Lineage: Eukaryota; Metazoa; Chordata; Mammalia; Primates; Hominidae.
CAUUCUACACCCUUGAAUAUCCCAGUGAGUUGAGUGACACAUAGCAGGCAUUCAAAUUAGUGCUAAGCCAAUAAAGUAAACUGUACCCUACCCCUUGAAAUCCUCCUGUUUCCAACACUUUACUCAUCUACUUAACUUAGAUCUUGAAGCCACGAAUGAAGAGAUACAGCGUUAACAGUAAGCUUUCAUUUUAAAAAGUGAAAACAAUGUAACCACCUUGAUAUGCCCUCGAGCUCUUUAAGCUGUAAUUCUACUUUAUGAAAUAUACACAAAAUAAGAAUUGACACAGACAGACUAAGGAAUGGGGGCUGAAAAGCCACAGCCAAAUUCGCUAUGAAUCUCCUACUUUGGGGAUUAGGCUCACUCAGCUACUUCAUAGCCCACUUGGAAAUUCGGUCAUUUUUCCAGUUGCUCUUUGUUGGAGGGAAACUUUCUUAACAAGAUUCUGAGGACUCCAUAAAAACCGUAAGGUGGGAGGAAUUGGGAUCUGAAGGUCCUUGGCAAACAUGUCCACUGCGGCUGCUGGAGGCAAAGCAACGGAAGUUGAAGAGACUUUGCAACAGCUGCAAGAGUUUCACUCCCGGUGCGGAGAAGGGUAGCGGAGCUAGGCUACCCCACCCGGGCGGCGUCCAGCAGCCAGGUCCCUGCUGAACCCCGAGGCCCACCUCGCUGGACCCCGGACGGGCCCCAUCUGUUUCCCCUCCUUCCCCACGCUACGGCCCGCUGGGGAACGGGGCAGCGCCGGGGAGCACGACGAGGGCACGAGGUACCCUCUCCUAGCCCAGGCUCACCCUUGGUCAGCGUGUCCAGCACCCCCGACUUCUCCAAGUACCUCCGGAACUGCUCACGCUUCGAGUCGGCGGCCUGAAGAGACACCGGGGGUCAGUGGCCAGAGCCCGGGAGCCGAGCAGGAAGAAGGCGCUGGGAGUCCGGCAACCCCGCCUCCGCCUCACUACCUCGGGGCCCUCCCGCCCAAACCUGCGCGCGCGACCCCACUCCCACCCAGAGCCGACCAGCGGCUUGCUACCGCCCGCAUGCCCCCAGCCACGCCGCGCCCCCCUCACUUUGUAAUGGGCCAUAGUGACAGCGGCAGCGGCGUAGCUGGCGCCGGAGACCGCGACUGGCGGGUUGGGAGCAGCACUGCUCAUGCGCGGAAGGGGGCGCGCGCCUGCGCACUUGCAAACCACCGGCCGGGAUCGCCGAGGUGUGGCCUGUUUUCAUGGCGACCAGGACGCUCUGCAUCCCCAGUAGCAGGCUGAGCCGAGGGAGGCUGCGUAUGCCCGCCCCUCUGGCUGUCGGAGCCGCACCUCUUCCUCUUCCGGCCCCCGUAGCAAUUAGGUUUCUUUGCAGGAGAUGAAGCCAGACUGCUCAUCAUUCCAGACAUCUUCAGCUGCUACACCCAGAACAAGCAUUCGAAAUAUGAACAGGAUGGUGAGCCAGAUCUUUCCAAUCAUGGUGGAGUGGAUGUGAACUUCCUCCAGAGUAUCUCCAAGGAGAUUCCAGUCCCCCAUGUUUAUUUAGUCAGCCAUCUUAGCUCUGAUCCACAUCAAAUAAGAGGCAGAUAAAUUCUUCCAUUCUGAAGGGAGCACUAUUUCUUAAAGCAAACCUAUGGUGAAAAUAUAACAAUAUGUCA